This 814-nucleotide long non-coding RNA is filed under the name Helianthus annuus (common sunflower). Its description in RNAcentral is "sRNA HanXRQr2_Chr13g0566931". Lineage: Eukaryota; Viridiplantae; Streptophyta; Magnoliopsida; Asterales; Asteraceae. The record is from RNAcentral.
GGCGCCCAAACCAUCCGAGCAAUUAUAUGUAUAAUCAAUUAGGUUUUAUGAUUGAAAUCUGUUAUGAGUUUUCUUUUUGAUUGAAAUCGACUUUCAACAAAACUGUUUGUUUACCCACAACAUCAAAUUAAUGCGAACUUAAAUCACCGGCGACGCUUCAAAUGGCAAAUCGGAUAUGUUCAAUGGGUAACACCAUAAAUGGUAGCGAAGACGGUGGUGGUGGGAGAACCUCGUCAUCCACCUAGGGUUUCAAUUGCAUAUUUCGUCUACUAAACAUCACAACUGCAAUCUUGAAGGAGGCAAAGCCACCGUUACCGUCACCGGAAUAAUCUCGUAAUCUCACAGGUUUAAAAAUUCCUUGUUAAAUCCGAAUGACACAUGGGUGUUGCCAUACCUUCAGUUUAUUGUUGUAGAAAUUCGGUUCCAAUGUAUGCUAAAGUCUCAACAGUUCACGUCUUCAUCUUCUUUGAUUCGCCUGCAAUUUAAGUUGACGGUGUUAUAAGAACAACAGGGGGUGGGGCUCGGCGAGUCGAACUUGUCACAACGAUGGCUAUGGAUUUCGGCAAUGGAAGACGACAAGACAUCUUCUCGAGUUCUCGGUCCAAUGGUCAGUUUUGGUUGGUACUGGCCGGUUUUAGCCCAGUUAAGUCUUGACAGAGCUAAGUUCUCAUAGUGCCUACGCCAAGCUUGCCUUGCGUCUAUUUAAGAUCUUAAAGGCAGCUGAUGUGGAUUUAGUUGUGAUCACUAGAGGAACACCUGGAUUCUCAGGUUUGUCAAACUUCGUUAAUGUUGAAAGGAAAGGAGUCAAAGUCUU